This 1665-nucleotide non-coding RNA is filed under the name Schistocephalus solidus. RNAcentral's name for it is "Eukaryotic small subunit ribosomal RNA". It matches the Rfam family "Eukaryotic small subunit ribosomal RNA", at positions 512 to 1831 of the family's 1831-position model. Lineage: Eukaryota; Metazoa; Platyhelminthes; Cestoda; Diphyllobothriidea; Diphyllobothriidae. The record is from Rfam by way of RNAcentral.
UAUUCAUUGCGGUCCGCAUACCCUUGGAUUUCCUCAGCAUUUCGGAUCAUCCUGGCGUCCUGCAGCCAUUGUUUUACAAGGUGUUGUCAUAUGAAGAAGGCUUCUUUGGAUAAGUCUGGUGCCAGUAGCCACGGUACCUCCAGCUCCAAUAGCGUAUGUUAAAGUUGCUGCAGUUAAAUACUCGUAGUUGGAUCUCGGUAUGCCUGUCGCCUGCAAAUCCUCGGCUGAUUGUGUCGGUGCCAGUCGGACCUUGCUUCGCUCGGUGUCCCUUGCCCAGGCAUGGUUAUGCUCGAGUUGGUGGGUAGGUGGUGUCACCUUUCAGCCAUGUCUGUGGUGAAAUACCCGCAGGGUAGGCGAUUGACAGGUGGUGCUCUGCGACAGUAGGGUUCGUCAACUCGUCUGCAUGCCUUUGGAUGUUCUUAAAAAUGUGUUUAUGGGCAGAUAGCACGUUUAUGUUGAGCACAUUUGAUGGCGCAAACUAGGCAGUUGUUAGCUAAAAUGUUUUGCAUGGAAUAAUGGAAUAAGAUUUUGGUUCUAUUUCGUUGGUUUUCGGAUGCGAAGUAAUGAUCAAAAGUGACAGGCCGGGACGUUUGUAUGGUUGCGCUAGAUGUAAAUUCAUUGACUGUAACCAAACAAACUAAAGCAAAGGCAUUCCUCAAGCACAUUUUCAGGGGCCAUGAGUGAAAAUCGAAGGCUUGAAGGCGAUCAGAUACCAUCCUAGUGCUGACCAUAAACGAUGCCAACUUAUGAUCCGUAGUGGUAUUUUUUUUAACUAUCCCCACGGGCAGUCCCCGGAAAACCUUAAAGUCUUUGGGUUUUGCGGGAACGAUGGUUUCAAAGCUAAAACAUAAAGGAAAUGACGGAAGGGAAUCACCAGGCGUGCAGCCUGCGGCUUAAUAAACUCAACACGGGAAAACUAAACCAGCCCGGACACUGUCAGAAUUGGCAGAUUGCUAGCCCUUUCUUGAUUUGGUGGUUGGCAAUGCAUGGCCGUUCUUACUCGGUGGAGACAUUUGUCUGGUAUAUUCCGAUAACGAACGGUACGCCUGUACUCUGUUCCUGUGCUGGCGGCGUUUUGACGAAACUGUUCACUUCACCUGACUACUUUAGGGCCGCGCAUUUCUCUGCGCGCGUGUGCUGCGAGCUCGCGUGUGGGGCAUGGACUGUGGUAGGAGGUGUGAUCGGUGGGUUCAGCGCUAGCCUCUGGGUACGGCGCAGGUGUGUCUACUUCUUAGAGAGACAAUCGUUACGAAUGUGCACGAAAUUGAGCAAUAACAGGUCUGUGAAGCCCUUAGAUCUCCGGGGCUGCACGCGCCCUACAAUGACGCUGCCAACGUGUCUGAUCUUCUGGUCCGAAAGGGUUGGGUAAACUGGUCAAUCACCGUCAUGAUGGGGAUCGGGUCUAGGAAUUGUUUUCCCGUGAACGAGGAAUUCCCAGUAAGUACAUGUAAUAAGCUUGCGUUGAUAACGUCCCUGCCCUUUGAACACACCGUCCGUCACAUCUGCCAAGUGAAUGGUUAAGUAAGGUCCACGGAUUGGCGAAAUUGAAGUGCCAGCUGAAAGGUUGGUGCUUGACAGGUGCCGAGAAUACGACCAAACUUGAUCAUUUAGAGAAAUUAAAGUCCUUACAAGGUUUCAACGGGUAAACCUGCUGAAGUUUCAUUA